CCCCGGGGCUAUCGUGUCGCGGGUGCUCACUUCUCUACAGACUGAAUCAGAGUGCAUCACGCCCAUCCGAAGGACUUGGUGAAGUAGCUGUACAUUCCACCACUUCCAGAGGCUCUAAACUUUCAUCUGUAGAGAGAGACCUUUAGAAACUCUCAAAUAUGUCUUCAGAAUCAGAUGCUAAGUUCAAACAUGAAAGUGCCAGUUUCAAUCAUCGUAGAUUUAGAGCCGCUCAUUACCGUAUAACAGGAGCUGCAAGAGAGAAAGCUUUACCCCCGAAAGACGACAGCCCGAAGGAGGAAAACCAGCCAAGUAAAAAAGAAAAGAAAGAUGCUCCUAAAAAAGAAUAGUUCAUUCAGCUCACUGCUACAAUCAAAGAACCCAGGGCAUUCGGCAUCGUCUGAGACAGCAAGUCAGAACUCCAUAUCCCGGGGAAAACCUUGACUCUGUUAAUGCUCGAAUAGAGGUUAAGGAUGAAACAGCUGCACAAGCCACUGGCACAGUUGAAUUAAGUACUGAUGUUUGUGGGCUCAAGUGACCAACAUUGCGGGUUUCCAGUAAAACAUCCUGUAGUUUGUUUGAUGACUAGAUUUAUCCAUCAUAUUUUAUUGUUCAAUUUUGUACUAAGCUAAUGGAAGAUCCACCCAGUAUAUUUGUAUUGCCUGGUAAAAUCUCAAGUGAGAUAAACCAAUAUCUAGCAUUUACAGCUGUGCUUAUUUGUUAUAUUUAAUGAUAAAACUUUAUAUAGCAAUGAUUUAACAUACAGCAUGCAAGAAAAUAUGUACUAAAGCAGGUUUUCUAUGAAUAGCUUUAUCAUUGUUUUAUGUAGGGUGCUUUUUAAAUUCAGUCUGUGUACACUUGUGUAUACAUUGAUGAUUAUAGGUAUGUUCAUGAGUACGUAUAUAGGUGGAUGUAUACAUUAUAGGUGGUUGUAUACAUGAAUGUGCGCCUGUUUGUGCUUUAUGUGUGUAUGUUUAUAUAUGAGGCAAAAAAAUAGGUUUAAAUCACACUUUCCUGUAUAGAAACGUUUGUAUAUGCAGUUCUAAAACGAAAGUAAUAAUAAUGAAUCAAGGGCCAUUAGUUAAACCUGGAACAAAUGUAGUCCAUUCCCGUCUGAAAGAAGCCCCUAGAGAGAUCUUAUCUAAAUAGGAUUCUUUAUUCAUUUAUAUAAAAAAUAUAUUUAU
Molecule: long non-coding RNA, 1181 nt
Organism: Penaeus indicus
Lineage: Eukaryota; Metazoa; Arthropoda; Malacostraca; Decapoda; Penaeidae
Exons: 2
Source: RefSeq, a predicted model, not a curated record